This 889-nucleotide ribosomal RNA is filed under the name Clostridium butyricum. Its description in RNAcentral is "bacterial SSU rRNA". It matches the Rfam family "Bacterial small subunit ribosomal RNA", at positions 507 to 1397 of the family's 1533-position model. Lineage: Bacteria; Bacillati; Bacillota; Clostridia; Eubacteriales; Clostridiaceae. The record is from RNAcentral.
GCCACGAGCCGCGGUAAUACGUAGGUGGCAAGCGUUGCCCGGAUUUACUGGGCGUAAAGGGAGCGUAGGUGGAUAUUUAAGUGGGAUGUGAAAUACCCGGGCUUAACCUGGGUGCUGCAUUCCAAACUGGAUAUCUAGAGUGCAGGAGAGGAAAGGAGAAUUCCUAGUGUAGCGGUGAAAUGCGUAGAGAUUAGGAAGAAUACCAGUGGCGAAGGCGCCUUUCUGGACUGUAACUGACACUGAGGCUCGAAAGCGUGGGGAGCAAACAGGAUUAGAUACCCUGGUAGCCCACGCCGUAAACGAUGAAUACUAGGUGUAGGGGUUGUCAUGACCUCUGUGCCGCCGCUAACGCAUUAAGUAUUCCGCCUGGGGAGUACGGUCGCAAGAUUAAAACUCAAAGGAAUUGACGGGGGCCCGCACAAGCAGCGGAGCAUGUGGUUUAAUUCGAAGCAACGCGAAGAACCUUACCUAGACUUGACAUCUCCUGAAUUACUCUGUAAUGGAGGAAGCCACUUCGGUGGCAGGAAGACAGGUGGUGCAUGGUUGUCGUCAGCUCGUGUCGUGAGAUGUUGGGUUAAGUCCCGCAACGAGCGCAACCCUUAUUGUUAGUUGCUACCAUUUAGUUGAGCACUCUAGCGAGACUGCCCGGGUUAACCGGGAGGAAGGUGGGGAUGACGUCAAAUCAUCAUGCCCCUUAUGUCUAGGGCUACACACGUGCUACAAUGGUCGGUACAAUGAGAUGCAACCUCGCGAGAGUGAGCAAAACUAUAAAACCGAUCUCAGUUCGGAUUGUAGGCUGAAACUCGCCUACAUGAAGCUGGAGUUGCUAGUAAUCGCGAAUCAGAAUGUCGCGGUGAAUACGUUCCCGGGCCUUGUACACACCGCCCGU